RNAcentral lists this long non-coding RNA (435 nucleotides) under Anser brachyrhynchus (Pink-footed goose). RNAcentral's name for it is "lncRNA (ENSABRG00000004625.1)". Lineage: Eukaryota; Metazoa; Chordata; Aves; Anseriformes; Anatidae. The record is from RNAcentral.
AGAAGAUUCUGUCUUCUUCAGUCAUCAUAUAUUUAUUUCAGAAGAGAAGCUCCUUUACACUUAAGAAUUCUGAAAUCAGAUUGUAUCUUUACAUGCAUUUUUUACAUAGGUAUAUUUUUGUCUUUUGCAGUCAGACUUUCAGUUCUACCAUGCCUGGGAAUCUCAUUCCUAACAUCCAGAGGAAUCUCAAAGUCUUCCAUCCCUAGAAAAUUUUCAAAUUGUGAUGGGAGUUUUCAUUUUAUGUGUGUAAAAAAAAAAAAAAAAAUUCUUCUAACAGCACAGCAUGCCUCCCAGCAACAAUAUCUAUUCAGAAAGAACUUCUUCUGUGCUCAAGGACAUGAGGUGAUGCUGGAUAUUUUCUCUAGUAGCUUGUCACAGAAGUUAAAGAACAAGGGGAAUAGAAUUCAAGAAAGGGAAGAAUCUGGAAGAAAGUGA